This 377-nucleotide ribosomal RNA is filed under the name uncultured bacterium. RNAcentral describes it as "bacterial SSU rRNA". It matches the Rfam family "Bacterial small subunit ribosomal RNA", at positions 523 to 898 of the family's 1533-position model. The record is from RNAcentral.
AGACGAGCUCUCCAAACGUUAUUCGGUAUCACUGGGCUUAAAGAGUUCGUAGGCGGCUCCGUAGGUGAGGUGUGAAAUCCCUCGGCUCAACCGAGGAAUUGCGCUUCAAACCGUGGAGCUAGAGGUAGACAGGGGUAAGCGGAACAGAUGGUGGAGCGGUGAAAUGCGUUGAUAUCAUCUGGAACACCGGUGGCGAAAGCGGCUUACUGGGUCUUUUCUGACGCUGAGGAACGAAAGCUAGGGUAGCGAACGGGAUUAGAUACCCCGGUAGUCCUAGCCGUAAACGAUGAGCACUAGUCUGUGGGGACUCUCACAUCCUCUCGGACGUAGCGAAAGUGUUAAGUGCUCCGCCUGGGGAGUAUGGUCGCAAGGCUGAA